RNAcentral lists this ribosomal RNA (347 nucleotides) under uncultured soil bacterium. Its description in RNAcentral is "bacterial SSU rRNA". It matches the Rfam family "Bacterial small subunit ribosomal RNA", at positions 26 to 391 of the family's 1533-position model. The record is from RNAcentral.
AGAGCGAACGCUGGCGGCAGGCCUAACACAUGCAAGUCGAACGGACUCUUCGGAGUUAGUGGCGGACGGGUGAGUAACACGUGGGAACGUGCCUUUAGGUUCGGAAUAGCUCCUGGAAACGGGUGGUAAUACCGAAUGUGCCCUUCGGGGGAAAGAUUUAUCGCCUUUAGAGCGGCCCGCGUCUGAUUAGCUUGUUGGUGAGGUAAUGGCUCACCAAGGCUACGAUCAGUAGCUGGUCUGAGAGGAUGACCAGCCACAGUUGGGACUGAGACACGGCCCAAACUCCGUACGGGAGCAGCGAGGUAGGGGAAUCGUUGCGCGAAAGUGGGGACGAAAGCCGUAGACCG